CAGCAGUAGCCGCGGUAAUACGAAGGGGGCUAGCGUUGCUCGGAAUGACUGGGCGUAAAGGGCGCGUAGGCGGAUUGUACAGUCAGACGUGAAAUUCCUGGGCUCAACCUGGGGACUGCGUUUGAGACGUGCGAUCUAGAGUUUGGAAGAGGGUCGUGGAAUUCCCAGUGUAGAGGUGAAAUUCGUAGAUAUUGGGAAGAACACCGGUGGCGAAGGCGGCGACCUGGUCCUUGACUGACGCUGAGGCGCGAAAGCGUGGGGAGCAAACAGGAUUAGAUACCCCCGUAGUCCCUGUCUCUUAUAA
This 304-nucleotide ribosomal RNA is filed under the name uncultured bacterium. RNAcentral describes it as "partial 16S ribosomal RNA". It matches the Rfam family "Bacterial small subunit ribosomal RNA", at positions 506 to 809 of the family's 1533-position model. The record is from RNAcentral.